UGAGGAAUAUUGGUCAAUGGGCGAGAGCCUGAACCAGCCAAGUAGCGUGCAGGAUGACGGCCCUAUGGGAUGUAAACUGCUUUUAUAUGGGAAUAAAGUGAGGGACGUGUCCCUUAUUGCAUGUACCAUAUGAAUAAGGACCGGCUAAUUCCGUGCCAGCAGCCGCGGUAAUACGGAAGGUCCAGGCGUUAUCCGGAUUUAUUGGGUUUAAAGGGAGCGUAGGCUGUUUGUUAAGCGUGUUGUGAAAUGUAAGAGCUCAACUUUUAGAUUGCAGCGCGAACUGGCAGACUUGAGUGCGCACAACGUAGGCGGAAUUCAUGGUGUAGCGGUGAAAUGCUUAGAUAUCAUGACGAACUCCGAUUGCGAAGGCAGCUUACGGGAGCGCAACUGACGCUAAAGCUCGAAGGUGCGGGUAUCGAACAGG
Molecule: ribosomal RNA, 424 nt
Filed under: Verrucomicrobiota bacterium
Lineage: Bacteria; Pseudomonadati; Verrucomicrobiota
Description: Verrucomicrobia bacterium partial 16S ribosomal RNA
Rfam family: Bacterial small subunit ribosomal RNA
Source: RNAcentral